UCGAGUGGCGAACGGGUGAGUAACACGUGGGUGAUCUGCCCUGCACUUUGGGAUAAGCCUGGGAAACUGGGUCUAAUACCGAAUACACCCUUCUGGCUGCAUGGUCUGGUUGGGGAAAGCUUUUGCGGUGUGGGAUGGGCCCGCGGCCUAUCAGCUUGUUGGUGAGGUUACGGCUCACCAAGGCGACGACGGGUAGCCGGCCUGAGAGGGUGACCGGCCACACUGGGACUGAGAUACGGCCCAGACUCCUACGGGAGGCAGCAGUGGGGAAUAUUGCACAAUGGGCGCAAGCCUGAUGCAGCGACGCCGCGUGAGGGAUGACGGCCUUCGGGUUGUAAACCUCUUUCGCCAGGGACGAAGCGCAAGUGACGGUACCUGGAGAAGAAGGACCGGCCAACUACGUGCCAGCAGCCGCGGUAAUACGUAGGGUCCGAGCGUUGUCCGGAAUUACUGGGCGUAAAGAGCUCGUAGGUGGUUUGUCGCGUUGUUCGUGAAAACUCACAGCUCAACUGUGGGCGUGCGGGCGAUACGGGCAGACUGGAGUACUGCAGGGGAGACUGGAAUUCCUGGUGUAGCGGUGGAAUGCGCAGAUAUCAGGAGGAACACCGGUGGCGAAGGCGGGUCUCUUCUCUGGGCAGUAACUGACGCUGAGGAGCGAAAGCGUGGGGAGCGAACAGGAUUAGAUACCCUGGUAGUCCACGCCGUAAACGGUGGGUACUAGGUGUGGGUUUCCUUCCUUGGGAUCCGUGCCGUAGCUAACGCAUUAAGUACCCCGCCUGGGGAGUACGGCCGCAAGGCUAAAACUCAAAGAAAUUGACGGGGGCCCGCACAAGCGGCGGAGCAUGUGGAUUAAUUCGAUGCAACGCGAAGAACCUUACCUGGGUUUGACAUGCACAGGACGUGCCUAGAGAUAGGUAUUCCCUUGUGGCCUGUGUGCAGGUGGUGCAUGGCUGUCGUCAGCUCGUGUCGUGAGAUGUUGGGUUAAGUCCCGCAACGAGCGCAACCCUUAUCUUAUGUUGCCAGCGCGUAAUGGCGGGGACUCGUGAGAGACUGCCGGGGUCAACUCGGAGGAAGGUGGGGAUGACGUCAAGUCAUCAUGCCCCUUAUGUCCAGGGCUUCACACAUGCUACAAUGGCCGGUACAAAGGGCUGCGAUGCCGUGAGGUGGAGCGAAUCCUUUCAAAGCCGGUCUCAGUUCGGAUCGGGGUCUGCAACUCGACCCCGUGAAGUCGGAGUCGCUAGUAAUCGCAGAUCAGCAACGCUGCGGUGAAUACGUUCCCGGGCCUUGUACACACCGCCCGUCACGUCAUGAAAGUCGGUAACACCCG
This is a ribosomal RNA of 1327 nucleotides. It matches the Rfam family "Bacterial small subunit ribosomal RNA", at positions 91 to 1423 of the family's 1533-position model.